UCAUCCGGGCUUUUGCCCGGUGCACUCUUCUGUAGGCAGGCCAGCAUCAGUUUUCCCCGGGGGAUAAAGGCGGCGGGAAUGUGGCUCUCUUCGGGGAGUGUUAUAGCCCACCGUGUAAUACCCUGGGGGGGACUGAGGUUCGCGCAUCUGCAAGGAUGCUGGCGUAAUGGUCAUCAACGA
Molecule: ribosomal RNA, 180 nt
Filed under: Fusarium sp.
Lineage: Eukaryota; Fungi; Ascomycota; Sordariomycetes; Hypocreales; Nectriaceae
Description: partial large subunit ribosomal RNA
Source: RNAcentral